Small nuclear RNA from Polyodon spathula (Mississippi paddlefish), 110 nucleotides. The record is from RefSeq and is a predicted model, not a curated record. NCBI's taxonomy places the organism in Eukaryota, Metazoa, Chordata, Actinopteri, Acipenseriformes, Polyodontidae.
ACACAAAGCGGAUGCCGUCGUGUUUAUGAUUUAAAGAAAUGAUACAGAGAAGAUUAGCAUGGCCCCUGAGCAAGGAUGACACGCAAAUUCGUGAAGCGUUCCACAUUUUU